GCAGGUAGAGUAACAGUUCAUCAUCAAGCCAUAAAUGGCCCUGUAGAACAGCAGGUAGAGUAACAGUUCAUCAUCAAGCCCCAGUGUAACUCCUUAGUAGAGUAACUCUUCAUCAUCAUCAAGCCAUAAAUGGCCCUGUAGAACAGCAGGUAGAGUAACAGUUCAUCAUCAAGCCAUAAAUGGCCCUGUAGAACAGCAGGUAGAGUAACAGUUCAUCAUCAAGCCCCAGUGUAACUCCUUAGUAGAGUAACUCUUCAUCAUCAUCAAGC
Oncorhynchus keta (chum salmon) is the source of this 269-nucleotide long non-coding RNA. RefSeq lists it as uncharacterized. The record is from RefSeq and is a predicted model, not a curated record. NCBI's taxonomy places the organism in Eukaryota, Metazoa, Chordata, Actinopteri, Salmoniformes, Salmonidae. The transcript has 3 exons.